GCCCGGUUAGCUCAAUCGGUAGAGCGUGUGGCUGUAAGUUCCCACUUAAAAUCAGUCAUUCGUCUGACUCAAUCACUAACAUCAUCCCAGUUUAUGAAGCACACCUCAAGGUUGCGAGUUCGAGCCUCGCAUCGGGCG
Aspergillus ellipticus CBS 707.79 is the source of this 138-nucleotide non-coding RNA. NCBI's taxonomy places the organism in Eukaryota, Fungi, Ascomycota, Eurotiomycetes, Eurotiales, Aspergillaceae. The record is from the annotation of a GenBank genome assembly.